UACGAAGGGGGGCUAGCGUUGCUCGGAAUUACUGGGCGUAAAGGGCGCGUAGGCGGAUGUUUAAGUCGGGGGGUGAAAGCCCAGGGCUCAACCCUGGAAUUGCCUUCGAUACUGGACAUCUUGAGUACGGGAGAGGUGAGUGGAACUCCGAGUGUAGAGGUGAAAUUCGUAGAUAUUCGGAAGAACACCAGUGGCGAAGGCGACUCACUGGCCCGUUACUGACGCUGAGGUGCGAAAGCGUGGGGAGCAAACAGG
Molecule: ribosomal RNA, 255 nt
Filed under: uncultured bacterium
Lineage: Bacteria
Description: partial 16S ribosomal RNA
Rfam family: Bacterial small subunit ribosomal RNA
Source: RNAcentral